UGCGCAGGCGGUUUUGUAAGACAGAUGUGAAAUCCCCGGGCUUAACCUGGGAACUGCGUUUGUGACUGCAAGACUUGAGUGCGGCAGAGGGGGGUGGAAUUCCACGUGUAGCAGUGAAAUGCGUAGAGAUGUGGAGGAACACCGAUGGCGAAGGCAGCCCCCUGGGUCGACACUGACGCUCAUGCACGAAAGCGUGGGUAGCAAACAGGAUUAGAUACCCUGGUAGUCCACGCCCUAAACGAUGCGAACUAGGUGUUGGAGAAGGAGACUUCUUUAGUACCGCAGCUAACGCGUGAAGUUCGCCGCCUGGGGAGUACGGUCGCAAGAUUAAA
Molecule: ribosomal RNA, 332 nt
Filed under: uncultured bacterium
Lineage: Bacteria
Description: bacterial SSU rRNA
Rfam family: Bacterial small subunit ribosomal RNA
Source: RNAcentral